Molecule: ribosomal RNA, 1180 nt
Filed under: uncultured Arthrobacter sp.
Lineage: Bacteria; Bacillati; Actinomycetota; Actinomycetes; Micrococcales; Micrococcaceae
Description: bacterial SSU rRNA
Rfam family: Bacterial small subunit ribosomal RNA
Source: RNAcentral
GGCUCACCAAGGCGACGACGGGUAGCCGGCCUGAGAGGGUGACCGGCCACACUGGGACUGAGACACGGCCCAGACUCCUACGGGAGGCAGCAGUGGGGAAUAUUGCACAAUGGGCGAAAGCCUGAUGCAGCGACGCCGCGUGAGGGAUGACGGCCUUCGGGUUGUAAACCUCUUUCAGUAGGGAACAAGGCCAGUGUUUAGCUGGUUGAGGGUACUUGCAGAAGAAGCGCCGGCUAACUACGUGCCAGCAGCCGCGGUAAUACGUAGGGCGCAAGCGUUAUCCGGAAUUAUUGGGCGUAAAGAGCUCGUAGGCGGUUUGUCGCGUCUGCCGUGAAAGUCCGGGGCUCAACUCCGGAUCUGCGGUGGGUACGGGCAGACUAGAGUGAUGUAGGGGAGACUGGAAUUCCUGGUGUAGCGGUGAAAUGCGCAGAUAUCAGGAGGAACACCGAUGGCGAAGGCAGGUCUCUGGGCAUUAACUGACGCUGAGGAGCGAAAGCAUGGGGAGCGAACAGGAUUAGAUACCCUGGUAGUCCAUGCCGUAAACGUUGGGCACUAGGUGUGGGGGACAUUCCACGUUUUCCGCGCCGUAGCUAACGCAUUAAGUGCCCCGCCUGGGGAGUACGGCCGCAAGGCUAAAACUCAAAGGAAUUGACGGGGGCCCGCACAAGCGGCGGAGCAUGCGGAUUAAUUCGAUGCAACGCGAAGAACCUUACCAAGGCUUGACAUGAACUGGAAAUACCUGGAAACAGGUGCCCCGCUUGCGGUCGGUUUACAGGUGGUGCAUGGUUGUCGUCAGCUCGUGUCGUGAGAUGUUGGGUUAAGUCCCGCAACGAGCGCAACCCUCGUUCUAUGUUGCCAGCACGUUAUGGUGGGGACUCAUAGGAGACUGCCGGGGUCAACUCGGAGGAAGGUGAGGACGACGUCAAAUCAUCAUGCCCCUUAUGUCUUGGGCUUCACGCAUGCUACAAUGGCCGGUACAAUGGGUUGCGAUACUGUGAGGUGGAGCUAAUCCCAAAAAGCCGGCCUCAGUUCGGAUUGGAGUCUGCAACUCGACCCCAUGAAGUCGGAGUCGCUAGUAAUCGCAGAUCAGCAACGCUGCGGUGAAUACGUUCCCGGGCCUAGUACAUACCGCCCGUCAAGUCACGAAAGUUGGUAACACCCGAAGCCGGUGGCCUACCCC